GAAUAUUGGACAAUGGGGGGAACCCUGAUCCAGCCAUGCCGCGUGUGUGUAGAAGGCCUUUUGGUUGUACAGCACUUUAAGCGAGGAGGAGGCUACUUAGAUUAAUACUCUAGGACAGUGGACGUUACUUGCCGAAUAAGCACCGGCUAACGCUGUGCAAGCAGCCGCGGUAAUACAGAGGGUGCAAGCGUUAAUCGGAUUUACGGGGCGUAAAGGGCGCGUAGGUGGCCAAUUAAGUCAAAUGUGAAAUCCCCGAGCUUAACUUGGGAAUUGCAUUCGAUACUGGUUGGCUAGAGUAUGGGAGAGGAUGGUAGAAUUCCAGGUGUAGCGGUGAAAUGCGUAGAGAUCUGGAGGAAUACCGAUGGCGAAGGCAGCCAUCUGGCCUAAUACUGACACUGAGGUGCGAAAGCAUGGGGAGCAAACA
This 424-nucleotide ribosomal RNA is filed under the name uncultured bacterium. RNAcentral's name for it is "partial 16S ribosomal RNA". It matches the Rfam family "Bacterial small subunit ribosomal RNA", at positions 359 to 774 of the family's 1533-position model. The record is from RNAcentral.